This 2659-nucleotide long non-coding RNA is filed under the name Brassica rapa (field mustard). RNAcentral's name for it is "long non-coding RNA (BRAP_LNC008930)". The record is from RNAcentral. Lineage: Eukaryota; Viridiplantae; Streptophyta; Magnoliopsida; Brassicales; Brassicaceae.
GUAAAUGCUCUAUAUACUGAAGCCUAUGAUCUUUAGUGUUGAUUUAAAAUUUAUAAACACUUUCUAUAUUUGUAUUAAUGUAUAUUAAACUCUCUUUCAAGGUACAAGUGCUUCGUUUUAAUUUUGUUUCAAUUAAUUUAGUAAACGUUCAUAAUACUCCUUAAAUUGGUUGACUAACCACUAUAAAAUCGUUAUUCUCUUGAAAAACGGAGACAAAAAAAGUUUCCAAACCUCUUUGACCUUCAUAAUAUGUUACUGAAGGAUGCAACUAUGCAUUAAAAUAGAAUUUUCAUUUUUUUUGAAUUUUUCUCAAAAUCUAUGGGUUAACCCCUACGAAAUAUUUAAUUUUUCGGUAAAUGCUCUAUAUACUGAAGCCUAUGAUCUUUAGUGUUGUUUUAAUAUUUAUAAACACUUACUAUAUUUGUAUUCAUGUAUAUUAAACUCUCUUUCAUGGUACAUGGGCAUCGUUUAAAUUUUUUGUCAAUUAAUUUAGUAAAACUUCAUAAUACUCCCUAAAUUGGUUAACUAACCACUAUAAAAUCGCUAUUUUCUAGAAAAACGGUGACAACAAAGGUUUCAAACCUCUUUGACCUUCAUCAUAUGUUAGUGAGUGAUGCAACUAUGCAUUAAACUAGAAUUUUCAUUUUUUUGAAUUUUUCUCAAAAUCUAUGGGUUAACCCCUACGAAAUAUUUAAUUUUUCGGUAAAUGCUCUAUACACUGAAGCGUAUGAUCUUUACUGUUGUUUUAAUAUUUCUAAACACUUUCUAUAUUUGUAUUAAUGUAUAUUAAACUCUCUUUCAUGGUACAUGGCAUCGUUUAAUUUUUUGUCAAUUAAUUUAGUAAAACUUCAUAAUACUCCUAAAUUGGUUGACUAACCACUAUAAAAUCGCUAUUUCUAGAAAAACGGACAACAAAGGUUCCAAACCUCUUUGACCUUCAUCAUAUGUUAGUGAAGGAUGCAACUAUGCAUUAAAAUAGAAUUUUCAUUUUUUUGAAUUUUUCUCAAAAUCUAUGGGUUAACCCCUACGAAAUAUUUAAUUUUUCGGUAAAUGCUCUAUAUACUGAAGCCUAUGAUCUUUAGUGUUGUUUAAAAUUUUAUAAACACAUUCUAUAUUUGUAUUAAUGUAUAUUAAACUCUCUUUCAUGGUACAUGGGCAUCGUUUAAAUUUUUUGUCAAUUAAUUUAGUAAAACUUCAUAAUACUCCCUAAAUUGUUUGACUAACCACUAUAAAAUCGCUAUUCUCUAGAAAAACGGAGACAAAAAGGUUCCAAACCUCUUUGACCUUCAUCAUAUGUUAGUGAAGGAUGCAACUAUGCAUUAAAAUAGAAUUUUCAUUUUUUUUGAAUUUUUCUCAAAAUCUAUGGGUUAACCCCUACGAAAUAUUUAAUUUUUCGGUAAAUGCUCUAUACCUGAAGCCUAUGAUCUUUAGUGUUGUUUUUAAAUUUCUAAACACAUUCUAUAUUUGUAUUAAUGUAUAUUAAACUCUCUUUCAUGGUACAUGGCAUCGUUUAAAUUUUUUGUCAAUUAAUUUAGUAAAACUUCAUAAUACUCCCUAAAUUGGUUGACUAACCACUAUAAAAUCGCUAUUUCUAGAAAAACGGAGACAACAAAGGUUCCAAACCUCUUUGACCUUCAUCAUAUGUUAGUGAGGAUGCAACUAUGCAUUAAAAUAGAAUUUUCAUUUUUUUGAAUUUUUCUCAAAAUCUAUGGGUUAACCCCUACAAAUAUUUAAUUUUUCGGUAAAUGCUUAUAUACUGAAGCCUAUGAUCUUUAGCUGUUGUUUUAAAAUUUAUAAACACAUUCUUAUUUGUAUUAAUGUAUAUUAAACUCUCUUUCAUGGUACAUGGGCAUCGUUUAAAUUUUUUGUCAAUUAAUUUAGUAAAACUUCAUAAUACUCCCUAAAUUGGUUGACUAACCACUAUAAAAUCGCUAUUUCUAGAAAACGGAGACAACAAAGGUUCCAAACCUCUUUGACCUUCAUCAUAUGUUAGUGAGGGAUGCAACUAUGCAUUAAAAUAGAAUUUUCAUUUUUUAUUUUUUUCUCAAAUCUAUGGGUUAACCCCUACGAAAUAUUUAAUUUUUCGGUAAAUGCUCUAUAUACUGAAGCUAUGAUCUUUACUGUUGUUUUAAUUUCUAAACACUUUCUAUAUUUGUAUUAAUGUAUAUUAAACUCUCUUUCAUGGUACAUGCAUCGUUUAAAUUUUUUGUCAAUUAAUUUAGUAAAACUUCAUAAUACUCCCUAAAUUGGUUGACUAACCACUAUAAAAUCGCUAUUUCUCUAGAAAAACGGAGACAACAAAGGUUCCAAACCUCUUUGACCUUCAUCAUAUGUUAGUGAGGGAUGCAACUAUGCAUUAAAAUAGAAUUUUCAUUUUUUUGAAUUUUUCUCAAAUCUAUGGGUUACCCCUACGAAAAUAUUUAAUUUUUCGGUAAAUGCUCUAUAUACUGAAGCCUAUGAUCUUUCUGUUGUUUUAAAAUUUCUAAACACUUUCUAUAUUUGUAUUAAUGUAUAUUAAACUCUCUUUCAAGGUACAAGUGCUUCGUUUUAAUUUUGUUUCAAUUAAUUUAGUAAACGUUCAUAAUACUCCUUAAAUUGGUUGACUAACCACUAUAAAAUCGUUAUUCUCUUGAAAAACGGAGACAAAAAAAGUUUCCAA